ACGCACGCUGGCGGCGUGCUUAACACCUGCCAGUCGAACGGAAAGGCCCUGCUUUUGUGGGGUGCUCGAGUGGCGAACGAGUGAGUAACACGUGAGUAACCUGCCCUUGACUUUGGGAUAACUUCAGGAAACUGGGGCUAAUACCGGAUAGGAGCUCCUGCUGCAUGGUGGGGGUUGGAAAGUUUCGGCGGUUGGGGAUGGACUCGCGGCUUAUCAGCUUGUUGGUGGGGUAGUGGCUUACCAAGGCUUUGACGGGUAGCCGGCCUGAGAGGGUGACCGGCCACAUUGGGACUGAGAUACGGCCCAGACUCCUACGGGAGGCAGCAGUGGGGAAUAUUGCACAAUGGGCGGAAGCCUGAUGCAGCAACGCCGCGUGCGGGAUGACGGCCUUCGGGUUGUAAACCGCUUUCGCCUGUGACGAAGCGUGAGUGACGGUAAUGGGUAAAGAAGCACCGGCUAACUACGUG
This 467-nucleotide ribosomal RNA is filed under the name uncultured bacterium. RNAcentral's name for it is "partial 16S ribosomal RNA". It matches the Rfam family "Bacterial small subunit ribosomal RNA", at positions 29 to 507 of the family's 1533-position model. The record is from RNAcentral.